Long non-coding RNA from Peromyscus eremicus (cactus mouse), 1439 nucleotides. RefSeq lists it as uncharacterized. The transcript has 2 exons. The record is from RefSeq and is a predicted model, not a curated record. Lineage: Eukaryota; Metazoa; Chordata; Mammalia; Rodentia; Cricetidae.
AGCAUUACAGAAGAUUGGCUGGGACGAGUGGGCAAAGACCCUGAGAAAAUGCCAGUAGAAGAAAGAGAAGUGAUUCUGCUCAAGGUCAUUGUAAAAGUAUGAAAAAAAAUUACAUUACUGAGAAACAAGGGCCUGGAACUUACUAAAUAUGCUAUGCUGACUGGCCAGCAUGCUCCAGGGAUCUGCCUAUCUCCUCCUCUCCAGUCCUGGGAUUCUAAGCACACUACAAAAUGUGGGUUCUGGGGGUCGAACUCAGGUCCUCUUGUACAGCAAACACUUCACUGACUGAGUCGUGUCCUCCGCUCUGGAGUCAUAACUACAUCGUGUCAGUACUUGGAUUUGGAGACCCCUUGGAUUUGCCUCUGCCAUCUCUUAAGGCAACAGUGGUGUUCAAGUUUGCUUCUUUUUCAAACUUGUUUUGAAAUGGCUUCUUUCAUAAGAGGACUUCACUUUUCAUGGUUACCAACAUUCUCGUAACUACUGUGACAAUAUUAGUGCCUAAUUAACCAUUAUGAAACAUUAACUAAUUCGGUGCUUGGUUACAUGGCAAACCAAAUGCCAUGCAACUGUAUGAAGUAAAAGCCUUCCUCACCUUCCUAUCAUAGAGAAUGGACUUUUAUAUGCAUUCUGUUACAGAACUGUGACCAGAAGAAAGAUAUUUGUAAGAUGGUGUGACAUGGGCCUUAAGUUGCUCGUAGAGAAUUUUGUUCGGCACAUUGCUUUGAAGAAAUCAAACAGGAUUUCUUGCAACUAACAAGAAAGAAUUAGAAAUAUAUGAGAAACUUUUGAGAAAAAAAAUCUGUAUCAAUUCAUUCUUUGUAGCAAAGAAGAAAAGCUGAUUCCACAGCUUCAGAGUCCUCUGUUAACUACCUGGGCUACUUAGAAGGCCCCAGAAUCAAGACUCUAAGACGGCUACAGACGUGGCUGCGUUUUAAAAUCUGAUGAAAAUAGAGACUUUCAGAAGCAAAAGCUCUCCUAUACCUACAUCCUAAAAGAGGAAGCACCUCCUCAAGGUUAUAAGGAGGGCAAUGAUUGACAGUGUGGAUGACUGACAGAGAGAGCUAGCCCUGCUCGUUAUCUGUGCUAGUGUUCUGGUCACAUGGGUCUAUAGUGCUUUUGUGUCUUCCCUAACCCUGUCUGUCCCAUUUGCUUUGUAAUUUUCAGAUGAAUUUUUAUUUUACAUGAGUAUUUCAGGAAUAUAUGUGACAUUAGAGUAUUUAUAUCACGUUAAUAUGUACAUGUAUUAAUCCCCAAUAGGAUUGGGAGCCAUGUAAAAAUCAUGUACAUGACAACAUGAGGACACAGAAACAUGGAUAUUAAAGUUGAGGGGCAGGACUAAGAAAGACACAAAUCAGUGCUGGAAAGCUGUCUUGGUAAAUAUACCUAUCUGGACCUUAUAUGAAAUGAGGCAAAUCUCAUUAAAAAAUGGCUUGUUAGUA